UACGUAGGGUGCGAGCGUUGUCCGGAAUUAUUGGGCGUAAAGAGCUCGUAGGCGGUCUGUCGCGUCGGUCGUGAAAACUUGGGGCUUAACCCUGAGCUUGCGGUCGAUACGGGCAUGACUGGAGUUCGGCAGGGGAGACUGGAAUUCCUGGUGUAGCGGUGAAAAUGCGCAGAUAUCAGGAGGAACACCGGUGGCGAAGGCGGGUCUCUGGGCCGAUACUGACGCUGAGGAGCGAAAGCGUGGGGAGCGAACAGG
This 255-nucleotide ribosomal RNA is filed under the name uncultured bacterium. RNAcentral describes it as "partial 16S ribosomal RNA". It matches the Rfam family "Bacterial small subunit ribosomal RNA", at positions 524 to 776 of the family's 1533-position model. The record is from RNAcentral.